This 747-nucleotide ribosomal RNA is filed under the name uncultured bacterium. RNAcentral describes it as "bacterial SSU rRNA". It matches the Rfam family "Bacterial small subunit ribosomal RNA", at positions 91 to 819 of the family's 1533-position model. The record is from RNAcentral.
GUGCAUGGCAGACGGGUGAGUAACGCGUGGGGAACCUACCUCUUUGUGGGGAAUAACGUUCCGAAAGGAAUGGUAAUACCGCAUGAGACCAUGGGCUGGGAUGCUUAUGGUGAAACCCGGGGACCGUAAGGCCUGGGGCAAGGAGAGGGUCCUGCGUCUGAUUAGCUAGUUGGCGGGGUAACGGCCCACCAAGGCGUCGAUCAGUAGCCGGCCUGAGAGGGUGAUCGGCCACACUGGAACUGAGACACGGUCCAGACUCCUACGGGAGGCAGCAGUGGGGAAUUUUGCGCAAUGGGCGAAAGCCUGACGCAGCAACGCCGCGUGGGUGAUGAAGGUCUUCGGAUCGUAAAACCCUGUCGUCAGGGACGAAGGUUGCAUGUCUAAUAGAUGUGUAACUUGACGGUACCUGGAGAGGAAGCCCCGGCUAACUCUGUGCCAGCAGCCGCGGUAAUACAGAGGGGGCAAGCGUUAUUCGGAAUUAUUGGGCGUAAAGGGCGCGUAGGCGGUGUCUUAAGUGAGAUGUGUAAUCCCCGAGCUUAACUUGGGAACUGCAUCUCAGACUGGGGCGCUAGAGUGCUGGAGAGGGUGGUAGAAUUCCACGUGUAGCGGUGAAAUGCGUAGAGAUGUGGAGGAAUACCAGUGGCGAAGGCGGCCACCUGGACAGUAACUGACGCUGAGGCGCGAAAGUGUGGGGAGCAAACAGGAUUAGAUACCCUGGUAGUCCACGCUGUAAACGAUGAACACUUG